Molecule: ribosomal RNA, 488 nt
Filed under: uncultured bacterium
Lineage: Bacteria
Description: bacterial SSU rRNA
Rfam family: Bacterial small subunit ribosomal RNA
Source: RNAcentral
GAUGAACGCUAGCGGCAGGCCUAACACAUGCAAGUCGAGGGGCAUCAUGGCGUAGCAAUACGCUGAUGGCGACCGGCGCACGGGUGCGUAACGCGUAUGGAACCUACCCACCGCAGGGGGAUAACCCGCCGAAAGGCGGACUAAUACCCCAUGGUUCCCCGACCCUGCCUGGGGUUGGGGGUAAAGCCUACGGGCGGCGGUGGAUGGCCCUGCGUGCCAUUAGCUGGCUGGUGGGGUAACGGCCCACCAGGGCGACGAUGGCUAGGGGGUCUGAAAGGACGAUCCCCCACACGGGUACUGAGACACGGACCCGACUCCUACGGGAGGCAGCAGUAAGGAAUAUUGGUCAAUGGACGGAAGUCUGAACCAGCCAUCCCGCGUGCAGGAUGAAGGUCCUAUGGGUUGUAAACUGCUUUUAUAUGGGAGCAAUAAGGUCUACGUGUAGACUGAUGAGAGUACCAUAUGAAUAAGCAUCGGCUAACUCCGUG